This is a long non-coding RNA of Microtus oregoni (creeping vole), 339 nucleotides long. RefSeq lists it as uncharacterized. Lineage: Eukaryota; Metazoa; Chordata; Mammalia; Rodentia; Cricetidae. The record is from RefSeq and is a predicted model, not a curated record. The transcript is spliced from 3 exons.
GCCGGAGUCAGCCCCGCGGUGUCCCACAAUGCUUCGCGGAGUCUCGCCCUUUUGCCUCCCACAAUACCUCGCGGCUCCCGCCGGCUCCGGUCUGGUUGUUGGUCGGGUUGGACUUGACCAGGAGGGCGGCCCAGCGCGUUAUCUGUGCUGUUUUCCUGUGGCACCAACCCCGGGUACCAGACAUGCAAGUGGAGCAUGGACACAUUUGACCAAGAGCUGAACACAGGCAAGCAAGAAUGCUAUAAAUGAUGUUCUGCCUCACCCUGGACCAAGGAAUAAUGUAUCCAAGCAACCAUGGAGUGAAGCCUCUAAAGCAACGAACCAAUCCUCUUCUCCUUU